CCCUUAGAUGUCCUGGGCUGCACGCGCGCUACACUGAUGUGUCCAGUAAGCACCUAACCUCUUCCGAAAGGAACGGGUAACCUUUGCAAAGCACAUCGUGAUGGGGAUAGAUUAUUGCAAUUAUUAGUCUUGAACGAGGAAUUCCUAGUAAGCACAAGUCAUCAGCUUGUGUUGAUUACGUCCCUGCCCUUUGUACACACAGCCCGUCGCUCCUACCGAUUGAAUGUUCCGGUGAGCUCUUCGGACUGCGCGGUCUGCAGUUUCUGCGUUCCGUGCGGAAAGUUGCGCAAACCUUAACAUUUAGAGGAAGGAGAAGUCGUAACA
RNAcentral lists this ribosomal RNA (324 nucleotides) under uncultured eukaryote. RNAcentral's name for it is "partial 18S ribosomal RNA". It matches the Rfam family "Eukaryotic small subunit ribosomal RNA", at positions 1470 to 1796 of the family's 1831-position model. The record is from RNAcentral.